RNAcentral lists this ribosomal RNA (253 nucleotides) under uncultured bacterium. RNAcentral describes it as "partial 16S ribosomal RNA". It matches the Rfam family "Bacterial small subunit ribosomal RNA", at positions 524 to 776 of the family's 1533-position model. The record is from RNAcentral.
UACGUAGGGGGCAAGCGUUGUCCGGAUUUAUGGGGCGUAAAGAGCGUGUAGGCGGCCAUACAGGUCAGCUGUGAAAACUCGAGGCUCAACCUCGAGACGUCGGUUGAAACCGUUUGGCUAGAGUCCGGAAGAGGAGAGUGGAAUUCCCGGUGUAGCGGUGAAAUGCGCAGAUAUCGGGAAGAACACCCGUGGCGAAGGCGGCUCUCUGGGACGGUACUGACGCUGAGACGCGAAAGCGUGGGGAGCGAACAGG